Molecule: RNase P RNA, 405 nt
Filed under: Pacificibacter maritimus
Lineage: Bacteria; Pseudomonadati; Pseudomonadota; Alphaproteobacteria; Rhodobacterales; Roseobacteraceae
Description: Bacterial RNase P class A
Rfam family: Bacterial RNase P class A
About the family: Ribonuclease P (RNase P) is a ubiquitous endoribonuclease, found in archaea, bacteria and eukarya as well as chloroplasts and mitochondria. Its best characterised activity is the generation of mature 5'-ends of tRNAs by cleaving the 5'-leader elements of precursor-tRNAs.
Source: Rfam by way of RNAcentral
ACGGAUGGCUGGAUGACCGCGGGUUCUGGGGGCUUAUGCCCACUGGAACGCGAGGAAAGUCCGGACUCCAUUGGACGACAGUGCCGGGUAACGCCCGGCGAGGGUAACCUUAGGGAUAGCGCCACAGAGAACAGACCGCCUUCUAUAUCGGAGGUAAGGGUGAAACGGUGGAGUAAGAGACCACCGCGCAAGCGGCAACGCAAGCGGCACGGCAAGCCCCACUGGGAGCAAUGCCAAAUAGGGGUCUCGUGUGAGGCACAGCGUUCGCUGCGUCAUCAUAGGGAUGUUCAAGCCCGAGAGACCCGGGUUGGCAGCUUGAGCGUGUUGGUAACAAUACGCCUAGAGGAAUGGUCAUCGACGGUGUUCGCACCUGAACAAAAUCCGGCUUAUAGGCCAUCCGUGCAA